RNAcentral lists this ribosomal RNA (593 nucleotides) under uncultured bacterium. RNAcentral's name for it is "bacterial SSU rRNA". The stretch from base 1 to 517 matches the Rfam family "Bacterial small subunit ribosomal RNA", at positions 338 to 873 of the family's 1533-position model. The record is from RNAcentral.
CCUACGGGAGGCAGCAGUGGGGAAUCUUGCGCAAUGGGCGAAAGCCUGACGCAGCCAUGCCGCGUGAAUGAUGAAGGUCUUAGGAUUGUAAAAUUCUUUCACCGGGGACGAUAAUGACGGUACCCGGAGAAGAAGCCCCGGCUAACUUCGUGCCAGCAGCCGCGGUAAUACGAAGGGGGCUAGCGUUGCUCGGAAUUACUGGGCGUAAAGGGAGCGUAGGCGGAUAGUUUAGUCAGAGGUGAAAGCCCAGGGCUCAACCUUGGAAUUGCCUUUGAUACUGGCUAUCUUGAGUGUGGGAGAGGUAUGUGGAACUCCGAGUGUAGAGGUGAAAUUCGUAGAUAUUCGGAAGAACACCAGUGGCGAAGGCGACAUACUGGCCCAUUACUGACGCUGAGGCUCGAAAGCGUGGGGAGCAAACAGGAUUAGAUACCCUGGUAGUCCACGCUGUAAACGAUGAGUGCUAGUUGUCGGCAUGCAUGCAUGUCGGUGACGCAGCUAACGCAUUAAGCACUCCGCCUGGGGGAGGUACGGUCGCGAGAUAAACUACGAAGAAGUAGACGCGUGAGAGNGCGAGACGACGACGAGGGAGGAGG